This is a long non-coding RNA of Austrofundulus limnaeus, 709 nucleotides long. RefSeq lists it as uncharacterized. The transcript has 2 exons. The record is from RefSeq and is a predicted model, not a curated record. NCBI's taxonomy places the organism in Eukaryota, Metazoa, Chordata, Actinopteri, Cyprinodontiformes, Rivulidae.
AUUAGUGCCCAUUUAAUGGCUGACCUGCCCUCCUCUCGUUAGGCAGCGCAGCAUGCGUGCGUGCGCGCACACACACACACACACACACACACACACACACACACUCCUUCGACUCUCCAGUGUCGCACUGCCUCGGGCCUCUCUGCAACACUUCCACCCCUCGCUGAGACCACACAAUAGACCCGUUAGUGAAAGGGCUGCCCUGUGAUCAGCAGUGCAUCCAUUUGCUGAGUUUCCAGCGUGCAGCUCUGUGAUUUCUGCAGGCAGUGGCCGUCAUGCGACAGACGCUACGGAAUAAAAGAGGAAGAAAAGUCCAGUUUUGAAGGGAAACUUCUAACUUCACGUCCAGUGGAGGUUAAUGAGAGUUUUGAUGAGUGGAUUUGAGAGGAAACUGUAAGCAGUGACGUACUGGAUGUUGUGAUGUAAACUGUGUUAAAAGUGUAACUUUUUUGAAAAGAAGUGGAGUUUGUCUGCAGAAACUAUUUGUCUUAUCUUGAGCAUAUCACCCACCAGGUCUUAGUUUGUUGAUUCCAUGUCAGACAUUUACUUCCUCAUUAUUCAUGAUGAUUCCAGGUGUUUCUAUAGAUUUUCAUGUCCUCGUGUCAAGUCUUGUUUUCAUUUCCUUCCUUGUUCAUUUCAAGAGUUUCCUGCUCGCUGUGUCCUUGAUGUGUUUUAUUAAAAUAAAUCGUUUCUUGGCGGCCUGAGUUUG